RNAcentral lists this long non-coding RNA (795 nucleotides) under Medicago truncatula (barrel medic). RNAcentral describes it as "long non-coding RNA (MTRU_LNC004319)". Lineage: Eukaryota; Viridiplantae; Streptophyta; Magnoliopsida; Fabales; Fabaceae. The record is from RNAcentral.
UCUCUAAGUUAAACUUAGAGAGAGAAGCUCUCCCUUCUCUCUAAAAAACGUCACCGGAGAAGAUGAGGAGGGGUGGCCGGAGCUGCUCCGGCGCGGUGGUCGGCCAUAGCGCCGCCGCGUCGGAGCUUUUUUUUUUAUUUUUUUUUGAAAUUUUUUUACAUCAAAAGCUUCUUCUCCUUCUCCUCUAUACAAAUCCGGUGUUAUUUUUAAAAAGGGUAGAGAGAUUUGAGCUAGAUCUAGCAAAGAAAGUUUGAGUGAAAUUACCUUCGGUUUCAAAACGGAGAAGACCGGAUCUACUACUUUAAGCUCGGAUUCACUUCCUUCUUGCUAAAUUCCUCCGAUCUAGCUCGAAUCCGGUCCGAUUUGCUUCCCUUUUUGCUCCGGUUCGGUUCGUUUCUUUUACCUCUCCUUGAUCUUGCUCGAUCCGAGUUGUUGUUGAUAUGAGGAACAGAUGCGUUCUUCUUCUCUUCCAGUUCGGUUUCGAUUUGUUUGUGUUAUGUGUUGAUUUGAGUUGGUUUUGUGGAUUUGUGGUGUUUAUGUUGAUUUCUGGAAGAAAAAAAAAAGUUAUGAGGACUAUUCAUGAAUAUUCAUGAGUGUUGUUGGUGAUGUUCAUAUUUUUUGUGAUUUUUGGUAUUUGAUUCGUAUUUGGAAUGAGAGAGAAAUGGGAAAGUGUUUGUAUUGAUUUGAGGGACUGAUUUGACUCCGAUUCUGACGCGGCUACAGUGAAUUUUCAGACCCUCUUCCCAAUGAUUGGACAGUGUAUUUAUAGUGACCAAAUAGGGUUGGCUCCGGUAC